This 496-nucleotide ribosomal RNA is filed under the name uncultured bacterium. RNAcentral describes it as "partial 16S ribosomal RNA". It matches the Rfam family "Bacterial small subunit ribosomal RNA", at positions 28 to 507 of the family's 1533-position model. The record is from RNAcentral.
GAUGAACGCUGGCGGCGUGCCUAAUACAUGCAAGUCGAGCGAACAGACGAGGAGCUUGCUCCUCUGAUGUUAGCGGCGGACGGGUGAGUAACACGUGAUAACCUACCUAUAAGACUGGGAUAACUUCGGGAAACCGGAGCUAAUACCGGAUAACAUGUUGAACCGCAUGGUUCAACAGUGAAAGACGGUCUUGCUGUCACUUAUAGAUGGAUCCGCGCCGCAUUAGCUAGUUGGUAAGGUAACGGCUUACCAAGGCAACGAUGCGUAGCCGACCUGAGAGGGUGAUCGGCCACACUGGAACUGAGACACGGUCCAGACUCCUACGGGAGGCAGCAGUAGGGAAUCUUCCGCAAUGGGCGAAAGCCUGACGGAGCAACGCCGCGUGAGUGAAGAAGGUCUUCGGAUCGUAAAACUCUGUUAUUAGGGAAGAACAAAUGUGUAAGUAACUAUGCACGUCUUGACGGUACCUAAUCAGAAAGCCACGGCUAACUACGUG